AACGAACGCUGGCGGCAUGCCUAACACAUGCAAGUCGAACGAGACCUUCGGGUCUAGUGGCGCAAGGGUGCGUAACGCGUGGGAACCUGCCCUUAGGUUCGGAAUAACUCCCCGAAAGGGGGGCUAAUACCGGAUAAUGUCUUCGGACCAAAGAUUUAUCGCCUUUGGAUGGGCCCGCGUUGGAUUAGCUAGUUGGUAGGGUAAAAGCCUACCAAGGCGACGAUCCAUAGCUGGUCUGAGAGGAUGAUCAGCCACACUGGGACUGAGACACGGCCCAGACUCCUACGGGAGGCAGCAGUGGGGAAUAUUGGACAAUGGGCGAAAGCCUGAUCCAGCAAUGCCGCGUGAGUGAUGAAGGCCUUAGGGUUGUAAAGCUCUUUUACCCGGGAUGAUAAUGACAGUACCGGGAGAAUAAGCUCCGGCUAACUCCGUG
Molecule: ribosomal RNA, 433 nt
Filed under: uncultured bacterium
Lineage: Bacteria
Description: partial 16S ribosomal RNA
Rfam family: Bacterial small subunit ribosomal RNA
Source: RNAcentral